CGGUAAUUCCAGCUCCAAUAGCGUAUAUUAAAGUUGUUGCAGUUAAAAAGCUCGUAGUUGAAGUUGUGUGCGUUGGUAUGGUGCGACGAUUGUCGUGUUGUGCCUGCGUGCAUUUCCUGAAGCAAUUCAGGACUGUUACUUUGAGGAAAUUAGAGUGCUCCAAGCAAGCUUUGCUUUGAAUACUUCAGCAUAGGAUAACGUCAUAAGACUUUGGUUUGUGUUGUUAGUUCUGUGACCAAAGUAAAGGUUAAUAGGAACGGUUGGGGGCAUUCGUAUUCAACAGUUAGAGGUGAAAUUCUUAGAUCUGUUGAAGACGCACUAAUGCGAAAGCAUUUGCCAAGGACGUUUUCAUUAAUCAAGAACGAAAGUUAGGGGAUCGAAGACGAUCAGACACCGUCGUAGUCUUAACCAUAAACUAUGCCGACUAGAGAUUGGAGGUCGUCCAUCUUGACUCUUCCAGCAUCUUAAGAGAAAUCAAAGUUUUCGGGUUCUGGGGGGAGUAUGGUCGCAAGGCUGAAACUUGAAGGAAUUGACGGAAGGGCACCACCAGGAGUGGAGCCUGCGGCUUAAUUUGACUCAACACGGGAAAACUCACCAGGUCCAGACGUAGGCAUGAUUGACAGAUUGAUUGUUCUUUCUUGAUUCUACGGGUGGUGGUGCAUGGCCGUUCUUAGUUGGUGGAGUGAUUUGUCUGGUUAAUUCCGUUAACGAACGAGACCUCAGCCUGCUAAAUAGGGUUCAGCGGUUCGCCGCUGCAAUUCCUUCUUAGAGGGACUUUGGGUAUUAAGCUCAAGGAAGAUUGAGGCAAUAGCAGGCCUGUGAUGCCCUUAGAUGACCUGGGCUGCACGCGCGCUACAAUGGUUCGGAGAGCGAGCGAAUCCUGUCCCGUGAGGGAUGGGUAAUCUUGUGAAUCCGGAUCGUGAUCGGGAUCGAUUCUUGUAAUUAUUAAUCGUGAACGAGGAAUUCCUAGUAAGCACGGGUCAUCAACUCGUGCUGAUUACGUCCCUGCCCUUUGUACACACCGCCCGUCGCUGCCUCCGAUUGGGUGUUGAGGUGAAUUAUUCGGACUGGCAUCUUAGGAUGUUGGGAAGUUUCGUAAACCUUUGCACUUAGAGGAAGCAGAAGUCGUAACAAGGUAACC
RNAcentral lists this ribosomal RNA (1141 nucleotides) under uncultured eukaryote. RNAcentral's name for it is "bacterial SSU rRNA". It matches the Rfam family "Eukaryotic small subunit ribosomal RNA", at positions 577 to 1804 of the family's 1831-position model. The record is from RNAcentral.